CCGACCUUAGCUCAGUUGGUAGAGCGGAGGACUGUAGUUGACGCAGAUAAUCCUUAGGUCACUGGUUCGAAUUCGGUAGGUCGGA
Transfer RNA from Arabidopsis thaliana (thale cress), 85 nucleotides. It matches the Rfam family "tRNA". From Rfam's summary of the family: Transfer RNA (tRNA) molecules are approximately 80 nucleotides in length. Lineage: Eukaryota; Viridiplantae; Streptophyta; Magnoliopsida; Brassicales; Brassicaceae. The record is from Rfam.